Molecule: small RNA, 744 nt
Filed under: Pan troglodytes (chimpanzee)
Lineage: Eukaryota; Metazoa; Chordata; Mammalia; Primates; Hominidae
Description: processed transcript
Source: RNAcentral
GGAUGGUGAGUUUCAGAGUUAGGGGUAUUGCAGUGGGGGUCCUGGGCUGAGGCUGGGGCCCAAUUCCGAGCACUGACGUUACUGUCUUGUCCCCACAGAAGCCGAUCCUACUGCAGGGCCAUGAGCGGUCCAUUACGCAGAUUAAGUAUAACCGCGAAGGAGACCUCCUCUUUACUGUGGCCAAGGACCCUGAAAGCAGCUGGCCCUUCUCAAGACCAAUUCGGCUGUCCGGACCUGCGGUUUUGACUUUGGGGGCAACAUCAUCAUGUUCUCCACGGACAAGCAGAUGGGCUACCAGUGCUUUGUGAGCUUUUUUGACCUGCGGGAUCCGAGCCAGAUUGACAACAAUGAGCCCUACAUGAAGAUCCCUUGCAAUGACUCUAAAAUCACCAGUGCUGUUUGGGGACCCCUGGGGGAGUGCAUCAUCGCUGGCCAUGAGAGUGGAGAGCUCAACCAGUAUAGUGCCAAGUCUGGAGAGGUGUUGGUGAAUGUUAAGGAGCACUCCCGGCAGAUCAACGACAUCCAGUUAUCCAGGGACAUGACUAUGUUUGUGACCGCGUCCAAGGACAACACAGCCAAGCUUUUUGACUCCACAACUCUUGAACAUCAGAAGACUUUCCGGACAGAACGUCCUGUCAACUCAGCUGCCCUCUCCCCCAACUAUGACCAUGUGGUCCUGGGCGGUGGUCAGGAAGCCAUGGAUGUAACCACAACCUCCACCAGGAUUGGCAAGUUUGAGGCCAG